This 459-nucleotide ribosomal RNA is filed under the name uncultured bacterium. RNAcentral's name for it is "partial 16S ribosomal RNA". It matches the Rfam family "Bacterial small subunit ribosomal RNA", at positions 338 to 795 of the family's 1533-position model. The record is from RNAcentral.
CCUACGGGUGGCAGCAGUGAGGAAUAUUGGUCCAUGGGCGCGAGCCUGAACCAGCCAAGUCGCGUGAGGGAAGACGGUCCUAUGGAGUGUAAACCUCUUUUGUCGGGGAGCAAAAGACGCCACGCGUGGCGUUCCGAGAGUACCCGACGAAAAAGCAUCGGCUAACUCCGUGCCAGCAGCCGCGGAAAUACGGAGGAUCCGAGCGUUAUCCGGAUUUAUUGGGUUUAAAGGGUGCGCAGGCGGAAGAUCAAGCCAGCGGUAAAAUUGAGGGGCUAAACCGCUUCGAGCCGUUGAAACUGGUUUUCUGGAGUGAGCGAGAAGUAGGCGGAAUGCGUGGUGUAGCGGUGAAAUGCAUAGAUAUCACGCAGAACUCCGAUUGCGAAGGCAGCAUACCGGCGCUCAACUGACGCUCAUGCACGAAAGUGUGGGUAUCGAACAGGAUUAGAUACCCCUGUAGUC